RNAcentral lists this ribosomal RNA (1491 nucleotides) under uncultured rumen bacterium. RNAcentral's name for it is "bacterial SSU rRNA". It matches the Rfam family "Bacterial small subunit ribosomal RNA". The record is from RNAcentral.
AGAGUUUGAUCAUGGCUCAGGAUUAACGCUGGCGGCGUGCCUAACACAUGCAAGUCGAGCGGGAAAUUUGAGAGUGAGGCUUCGGCGGAUCUCUCGAAUGGAGAGCGGCGGACGGGUGAGUAACGCGUAGGUAACCUGCCCUGCACAGAGGGAUAGCCACUGGAAACGGUGAUUAAUACCUCAUAAAACUGUUUUGCCGCAUGGUGAAACAGCCAAAGAUUUAUCGGUGCGGGAUGGAUCUGCGUCUGAUUAGCUUGUUGGUGAGGUAACGGCUCACCAAGGCGACGAUCAGUAGCCGACCUGAGAGGGUGAUCGGCCACAUUGGAACUGAGACACGGUCCAAACUCCUACGGGAGGCAGCAGUGGGGAAUAUUGCACAAUGGGCGCAAGCCUGAUGCAGCAACGCCGCGUGAAUGAUGAAGGCUUUUGGGUCGUAAAAUUCUGUUCUCAGGGAAGAAAAAAAUGACUGUACCUGAGGAGAAAGCCCCGGCUAACUACGUGCCAGCAGCCGCGGUAAUACGGAAGGUCCAGGCGUUAUCCGGAUUUAUUGGGUUUAAAGGGAGCGCAGGCGGGCUGUCAAGCGUGCCGCGAAAUCGCGGGGCUCAACCCCGUUGAGCGGUACGAACUGGCGGUCUUGGUUGCGGGAAGGGGAGGCGGAACUCGUGGUGUAGCGGUGAAAUGCAUAGAUAUCACGAAGAACUCCGAUCGCGAAGGCAGCCUCCCGGCCCGUCAACGACGCUCAUGCUCGAAGGCGCGGGUAUCAAACAGGAUUAGAUACCCUGGUAGUCCGCGCAGUAAACGAUGGACACUCGCGGUUUGGCCCUUGUGGCUGAGCCGCCCAGCGAAAGCGUUAAGUGUCCCACCUGGGGAGUACGCCGGCAACGGUGAAACUCAAAGGAAUUGACGGGGGCCCGCACAAGCGGAGGAACAUGUGGUUUAAUUCGAUGAUACGCGAGGAACCUUACCCGGGCUUGAAAUGUGCAUGACGGGAGGCAGAGACGCCUCCUUCCUUCGGGCAUGCAUGUAGGUGCUGCAUGGUUGUCGUCAGCUCGUGCCGUGAGGUGUCGGCUUAAGUGCCAUAACGAGCGCAACCCCUUCCGCCGGUUACCAUCGGGUCAUGCCGGGGACUCCGGCGGCACUGCCGCCGCAAGGCGCGAGGAAGGCGGGGAUGACGUCAAAUCAUCAUGCCCCUUAUGAUUUGGGCUACACACGUGCUACAAUGUCGUAAACAAAGGGACGCGAACCUGCGAAGGCAAGCAAAUCUCAAAAAUAACGACCCAGUUCGGACUGCAGUCUGCAACUCGACUGCACGAAGCUGGAAUCGCUAGUAAUCGCAGAUCAGAAUGCUGCGGUGAAUACGUUCCCGGGUCUUGUACACACCGCCCGUCACACCAUGGGAGUCGGAAAUGCCCGAAGUCGGUGACCUAACCGUAAGGAAGGAGCCGCCGAAGGCAGGUCGGAUGACUGGGGUGAAGUCGUAACAAGGUAGCC